Long non-coding RNA from Culex quinquefasciatus (southern house mosquito), 334 nucleotides. RefSeq lists it as uncharacterized. The record is from RefSeq and is a predicted model, not a curated record. Lineage: Eukaryota; Metazoa; Arthropoda; Insecta; Diptera; Culicidae. The transcript has 4 exons.
GUCUGACCGAGUGACGUAGGGAAAGGAAAAAUCAAACGUAAACAUACAGCCAAGGUAGAAAGUGGUGGAAAUUUGGUUUUCUUUAAAAAGUUUGCGCGUGAUUGAUACGGAGCUGCUGCGACUCCAGGUGACGGUGUAGCUGCACGGAAAGUCGGGAACGGUCCUGAAAGAAGAAGGAAAUUUCGCUAUUGCUGGCACGGCUCACGUUGGUAGAUCCGAGGAUUGGAGCAGGGAAACCAAUACUUUUAGCGAUUACCUACCAACUAAACCCGGUGUGAUCCGCUGAAAAGACGGCGUCCGAAAUCCUCCCCAACAGGCACCAAGUAGUGUCCCA